Non-coding RNA from Ktedonobacter racemifer DSM 44963, 134 nucleotides. The record is from Rfam. Lineage: Bacteria; Bacillati; Chloroflexota; Ktedonobacteria; Ktedonobacterales; Ktedonobacteraceae.
GAGAGCUACAGUGCCAUGAAAGUGGCCCGCUGGGUUCGGGAAGAGACCGUUGGAAAAGGGCUGAGUCCAGGAAACCACCUGAAACAUCAGGCAGGUCAGGACAGCAUCAGUACCUCGCUGGCGGUCUACUUCAU